GCACGGAUAGCUCAGUGGUAGAGCGGCUGUCUUACACACAGUUGGUCGGGGGUUCAAAUCCCUCUCCGUGUACCA
This 75-nucleotide transfer RNA is filed under the name Akkermansia sp. RNAcentral describes it as "tRNA-Val". It matches the Rfam family "tRNA". From Rfam's summary of the family: Transfer RNA (tRNA) molecules are approximately 80 nucleotides in length. Their secondary structure includes four short double-helical elements and three loops (D, anti-codon, and T loops). The record is from RNAcentral. Lineage: Bacteria; Pseudomonadati; Verrucomicrobiota; Verrucomicrobiia; Verrucomicrobiales; Akkermansiaceae.